GGAGUGUCCGUUUGUUUGUUUUUAAGGUGGUUUUCUUGCCUGGGAGAACAGUCCUAAACGUAAGUCAACAGGGUUUCCUCGCACUCAGCUCCUGCCUCCUCGGGCCGCUGGGGCCCUUCCUGCCCAAACACACGGCAGGCGCCCCCGAUGGCGGUCUGUGCCCAGCCGGGUACGCAUCUCAACCUGAUAACUGUGAACACCGCAGGCGUGAUCAGAGCUGAACAGGACACUUUAUCUUUAAAACAGAGGAAACAAAAACAGCAACAAAGAAAAGAACCGAAUCAGGGUCCUCUCUGGGCCCUCGUGCCAUUGUCCUGGUCCUGCUCUCUCUCCUGGUCUCCUUUCCACAGUUGUCAUUCUGUCCCAGCUUCUUCCACUGAGAUCCCGGAGCUUUAAGGACAAGCUGACCGUCGUGGGGCUCUGUAAGGCCUGUUUCCCUUCCCAAGGAUGAAAGGGCGCUGUGGAGACGAGGUGCAGCCGGCGAGUGGAACGCUGUGUGGGGAGGUGGCCCUGGGUGGCCUAUUGGUCUGCCCGGCGGGGACAGUGGCUGAUGUCUCUUACCCUCAUGGACCGGGCUUGCGUGGAUGCUUGCCCCUGCUUUACCACAGUACGCAACGGGAGGGCUCCGCCUUGCAAGCCGGGAAUUCGAGGGCAAAAGGAAUGAGGUGACUUGGCCCCGCUACUCCCCAGCCCCAGCAGAGUGGAAGAGGAACCAGGUCUUUCUGGCCUGAACACCCACUGUGCCCCACAUCCAGUGAUAACAGAGGAAGUGCCGGGAGAGCAGGGAGGAGACAGCAGAUUUACUCAAGAUUCACGAUGGCAGUGCUGGGAGAGUCUGUAGGCUCCAGCCCUGGCCAUCCUCCUGGACCUCCAGGGAAGGGUGACUGUGACUCUGUCUACCUGGGAAUCUGGAGAAAGGUGAAAACUGAAGGUAGAGCUUCAGAUGCGGCACACCAUGGAAUACUACUCUGUCUUCAAAAGGGAGGAGGUUCCCUUCCUACAAUAACGCAGAUGAGCCCCGAGGGCAUUUGGAUCCAGGAAAACAUCAGUCACAAAAGGACAAAUACUUCAUGAUUUCACUUAUAUGAGAAAUCUAAAAUAGCCAAAUACCUAUUCGUAGUUGGCAGGGGCAGGGGCAGGGGAGCGGAGGGUGUGAACCCGUGGGUGUAAAGUCCCCUUUGGGCAAGGCCAUCAAGUUCUGGAAGCCAGUGUUGUGCCUAUAGCUCACGGCACCAAACUGUCCCUGGAAGCACCUGUCAACAGGUCAGACUCACAUCACCAAGCGGCCCACAGACAUUCCAGGUGAUGGAGUCCUUCAACGUGGCCGCCAACUCCUUCCAGCCAUGGGUGGGGGUCGGAGGCUGGCCUGAGGGAGAAGAGCAGGCAGUGGAGCUG
Molecule: long non-coding RNA, 1395 nt
Filed under: Marmota monax (woodchuck)
Lineage: Eukaryota; Metazoa; Chordata; Mammalia; Rodentia; Sciuridae
Source: RNAcentral